UACGUAGGGACCAAGCGUUGUUCGGAUUUACUGGGCGUAAAGGGCGCGUAGGCGGCAUAUUAAGUCAGCUGUGAAAUCUCCGAGCUUAACUCGGAACUGUCAGCUGAUACUGAUGUGCUAGAGUGCAGAAGGGGCAAUCGGAAUUCUUGGUGUAGCGGUGAAAUGCGUAGAUAUCAAGAGGAACACUUGAGGUGAAGACGGGUUGCUGGGCUGACACUGACGCUGAUAGCGCGAAAGCCAGGGGAGCAAACGGG
Molecule: ribosomal RNA, 254 nt
Filed under: uncultured bacterium
Lineage: Bacteria
Description: partial 16S ribosomal RNA
Rfam family: Bacterial small subunit ribosomal RNA
Source: RNAcentral